Halocaridina rubra (Hawaiian volcano shrimp) is the source of this 73-nucleotide non-coding RNA. The record is from the annotation of a GenBank genome assembly. NCBI's taxonomy places the organism in Eukaryota, Metazoa, Arthropoda, Malacostraca, Decapoda, Atyidae.
GACCGCAGUGGCAGAGCGGUAACGUUCGCGACUUUUAUUCGUCAGAUCGUAGGUUCGAGGCCCGCCACGGUCU